GCUGACUCUUUUCAGACUCAGUCCGCCUACACCCAGGUGAAAUAAACAGCCAUGUUGCUCACACAAAGCCUGUUUGGUGGUCUUUUCACACGGACGCGCAUGAAAUUUGGUGCCGUGACUCCGAUUGGGGGAUCUCCCUUGGGAGAUCAAUCCCCUGUCCUCCUGUUCUUUGCUCUGUGAGAAAGAUCCACCUACCACCUCAGGUCCUCAGACCGACCAGCACAAGAAACAUCUCACCAAUUUCAAAUCCGGUAAGCAGACUCUUUUUACUCUCUUCUCCAACCUCCCUAUCCCUCAACCUCUUUCUCUUUUCAAUCUUGGCGCCACACUUCAAUCUCUCCCUUCUCUUAAUUUCAAUUCCUUUCAUUUUCUGGUAGAGACAAAGGAGACAAGUUUUAUCUGUGGACCCAAAACUCUGGCGCCGGUCACGGACUGGGAAGGCAGCCUUCCCUUGGUGUUUAAUCAUUGCAGGGACGCCUCUCUGAUUAUACAGUCACGUUUCAAGGGUGUCAGACCACGCAGGGACGCCUGCCUUGGUCCUUCACCCUUAGCAGCAAGUCCCGCUUUUCUGGGGAAGGGGCAAGUAUCCCAACCCCUUCUCUCCUUGUCUCUACCCCUUCUCUGCUUUUCCGGGGACGGGACAUGUACCCCAACCCCUUCUCUGUCUCUACUCCUUCUCUGCUAUCCUGGGGCAGGGGCAAGUACACCUCAACCCCUUCUCCUUCACCCUUAGCGGCAAGUCCCGCUUUCCUAGGGGGCAAGAACCCCCCAAUCGCUUAUUUCCACACCCCAACCUCUUAUCUCUGCACCCCAAUCCCUUAUUUCCACGCCCCAAUCUCUUAUCUCUGCACCCCAAUCCCUUAUUUCCGUGCCCCAACACUUUCUCUGCUUUUCUGGAGGGCAAGAAACCCCCACCCCUUCUCCGUGUCUCUACUCUUUUCUCUGGGCUUGCCUCCUUCACUAUGGGCAAGCUUCCACCUUCCAUUCCUCUUUCUUCUCCCUUAGCCUGUAUUCUUAAGAACUUAAAACCUCUUCAAUUCUCACCUGACCUAAAAUCUAAGCGUCUUAUUUUCUUCUGCAAUGCCGCUUGACCCCAAUACAAACUCAACAGUAGUUCCAAAUAGCCAGAAAACGGCACUUUCAAUUUUUCCAUCCUACAAGAUCUAAAUAAUUCUUGUCGUAAAAUGGGCAAAUGGUCUGAGGUGCCUGACGGCCAGGCAUUCUUUUACACAUCAGUCCCUUCCUAGUCUCUGUGCCCCGUGCAAUUCGUCCCAAAUCUUCCUUCUUUCCCUCCCACCUGUCCCCUCAGUACCAACCCCAAGCAUCGCUGAGUCUUUCUAAUCUUCCUUUUCUACAGACCCAUCUGACCUCUCCCCUCCUCGACAGGCCGAGCUAGGUCCCAAUUCUUCCUCAGCCUCCGCUCCUCCACCCUAUAAUCUUUUUUAUCGCCUCCCCUCCUCACACCUGCUUCGGCUUACAGUUUCAUUCCGUGACUAGCCCUCCCCCACCUGCCCAGCAAUUUAUUCUUAAAAAGGUGGCUGGAACUAAAGGCAUAGUCAAGGUUAAUGCUCCUUUUUCUUUAUCGCAAAUCAGAAAGCGUUUAGGCUCUUUUUCAUCAAAUAUAAAAAUCCAGCCCAGUUCAUGGCUCGUUUGGCAGCAACCCUGAGACGCUUUACAGCCCUAGACCCUAAAAGGUCAAAAGGCCGUCUUAUUCUCAAUAUACAUUUUAUUACCCAAUCUGCUCCCAACAUUAAAUAAAACUCCAAAAACUGGAAUCUGGCCCUCAAACCCCACAACAGGACUUAAUUAACCUCACCUUCAAGGUGUGCAAUAACAGAAAAAAGAUGCAAUUCCUUGCCUCCACUGUGAGACAAACCCCAGCCACAUCUCCAGCACACAAGAACUUCCAAACGCCUGAACUGUAGCAGCCAGGCGUUUCUCCAGAACCUCCUCCCCCAGGAACUUGCUACACAUGCCAGAAAUCUGGCCACUGGGCCAAGGAACGCCCGCAGCCCGGGAUUCCUCCUAAGCCGCGUCCCAUCUGUGUGGGACCCCACUGAAAAUCGGACUGUUCAACUCACCUGGCAGCCACUCCCAGAGCUCCUGGAACUCUGGCCCAAGGCUCUCUGACUGACUCCUUCUUGGCUUACCGGCUGAAGACUGACGCUGCCUGAUCACCUCAGAAGCCCCGUAGACCAUCACGGAUGCCGAGCUUUAGGUAACUCACAGUGGAGGGUAAGUCCAUCCCCUUCUUAAUCAAUAUGGAGGCUACCCACUCCACAUUACCUUCUUUUCAAGGGUCUGUUUCCCUUGCCUCCAUAACUGUUGUGGGUAUUGACGGCCAGGCUUCUAAACCUCUUAAAACUCCCCCACUCUCGUGCCAACUUAGACAAUACUCUUUUAUGCACUCUUUUUUAGUUAUCUCCACCUGCCCAGUUCCCUUAUUAGGCCGAGAUAUUUUAACCAAAUUAUCUGCUUCCCUGACUCUUCCUAGACUACAGCCACAUCUCAUUGCCGCCCUUCUCCCCAACCCAAAGCCUCCUUCGAGUCUUCCUCUCAUAUCCCGCCACCUUAACCCACAAGUAUAGGACAUCUCUACUCCUUCCCUGGCAACCGAUCACAUGCCCAUUACCAUUCCAUUAAAACCUAAUCACCCUUACCCCGCUCAACGGCAAUAUCCCAUCCCACAGCACACUUUGAAAGGAUUAAAGCCUGUUAACACUCGCCUGCUACAGCAUGGCCUUUUAAACCCUAUAAACUCUCCUUACCAUUCCCCCAUUUUACUUGUCUUAAAACCAGACAAGGCUUACAAGUUAGUUCAGAAUCUGCGCCUUAUCAACCAAAUUGUUUUGCCUAUCCACCCCGUGGUGCCAACCCAUAUACUCUCCUAUCCUCAAUAGCUCCCUCUACUACCCAUUAUUCUGUUCUAAUCUCAAACAUGCUUUCUUUACUAUUCCUUUGCACCCUUCAUCCCAGCCUCUCUUUGCUUUCACUUAGACUGACCCUGACACCGAUUAGGCCCAGCAAAUUACCUGGGCUGUACUGCCACGAGGCUUCACAAACAGCCCCCAUUACUUCAGUGAAGCCCAAAUUUCAUCCUCAUCUGUUACCUAUCUCGGCAUAAUUCUCAUAAAAACACACGUGCUUUCCCUGCUGAUCAUGUCCGAUUAAUCUCCCAAACCUCAAUCCCUUACAAAACAACAACUCCUUUCCUUCCUAGGCAUGGUUAGUGCGGUCAGAAUUCUUACACAAGAGCCAGGACCACACCCUGUAGCCUUUCUGUCCAAACAACUUGACCUUACUGUUUUAGCCUAGCCCUCAUGUCUGCGUGCAGAGGCUGCCGCUGCUUUAAUACUUUUGGAGGCCCUAAAAAUCACAAACUAUGCUCAACUCACUCUCUACAUGUCUCAUAACUUCCAAAAUCUAUUUUCUUCCUCAUACCUGACGCAUAUACUUUCUGCUCCCCAGCUCCUUCAGCUGUACUCACUCUUUGUUAAGUCCCACAAUUACCAUUGUUCCUGGCCCGGACUUCAAUCUGGCUGCCCACAUUAUUCCUGAUACCACACCUGACCCCCAUGACUGUAUCUCUCUGAUCCACCUGAUAUUCACCCCAUUUCCCCAUAUUUCCUUCUUUCCUGUUCCUCACCCUGAUCACGCUUGAUUUAUUGAUGGCAGUUCCACCAGGCCUAAUCACCACAUACCAGCAAAGGCAGGCUAUGCUAUAGUAUAAGCCACUAGCCCGCCUCUCAGAACCUCUCAUUUCCUUUCCAUCGUGGAAAUCUAUCCUCAAGGAAAUAACUUCUCAGUGUUCCAUCUGCUAUUCUACUACUCCUCGGGGAUUAUUCAGGCCCCCUCCCUUCCCUACACAUCAAGCUCCAGGAUUUGCCCCCACCCAGGACUGGCAAAUUAGCUUUACUCAACAUGCCCAAGUCAGGAAACUAAAAUACCUCUUAGUCUAAAUAGACACUUUCACUGAAUAAGUAAAGGCCUUUCCUACAGGGUGUGAGAAGGCCACCGUAGUCAUUUCUUCCCUUCUGUCAGACAUAAUUCCUCAGUUUAGCCUUCCCACCUCUAUACAGUCUGAUAACAGACCAGCCUUUAUUAGUCAAAUCAGCCAAGCAGUUUUUCAGGCUCUUAGUAUUCAGUGAAACCUUUAUAUCCCUUACGGUCCUCCCUCUUCAAGAAAAGUAGAACGGACUAAAGGUCUUUUAAAAACACACCUCACCAAGCUCAGCCACCAACUUAAAAAGGACUGGACAAUACUUUUACCGCUUCUGCUUCUCAGAAUUCAGGCCUGUCCUCAGAAUGCUACAAGGUACAGCCCAUUUAAGCUCCUGUAUAGAUGCUCCUUUUUAUUAGGCCCCAGUCUCAUUCCAGACACCGGACCAACUUAGACUGUGCCCCCAAAAAACUUGUCAUCCCUACUAUUUUCUGUCUAGUCAUACUCCUAUUCUCCAUUCUCAACUACUCAUACAUGCCCUGCUCUUGUUUACACUGCCGGUUUACACUGCUUCUCCAAGCCAUCACAGCUGAUAUCUCCUGGUGCUAUCCCCAAACUGCCACUCUUAACUCUUGAAGUAAAUAAAUAAUCUCCGCUGGCAGGAAUAUGCUGAAUCUCCUCAGGCACUCUCUAAUCAGAUAUCCUGAGUCGUCCCAAUUCUUAGACCUUUUAUACCUGUUUUUCUCCUUCUUAUUCCAUUUAGUUUUUCAUUUCAUACAAAACCGUAUCCAGGCCAUCACCAAUCAUUCUAUACAACAAAUGUUUCUUAUAACAACCCCACAAUAUCACCCCUUACCACGAGAUCUCCUUUCAGCUUAAUCUCUCCCACUCUAGGUUCCCACGCCGCCCCUAAUCCCGCUUGAAGCAGCCCUGAGAAACACCGCCCAUUCUCUCUCCAUACCACCCCCUAAAAAUUUUCGCCGCCCCAACACUUGCAACACUAUUUUGUUUUAUUUUUCUUAUUAAUAUAAGAAGGCAGGAAUGUCAGGUCUCUGAGCCCAAGCCAAGCCAUCGCAUCCCCUGUGACUUGCACGUAUAUACGCCCAGAUGGCCUGAAGUAACUGAAGAAUCACAAAAGAAGUGAAAAGGCCCUGCCCCAUCUUAACUGAUGACACUCCACCAUUGUGAUUUGUUCCUGCCCCACCUUAACUGAGUGAUUAACCCUGUGAAUUUCCUUCUCCUGGCUCAGAAGCUCCCCCACUGAGCACCUUGUGACCCCCCACCCCUGCCCACCAGAGAACAACCCCCUUUGACUGUAAUUUUCCAUUACCUUCCCAAAUCCUAUAAAAUGGCCCCACCCCUAUCUCCCUUUGCUGACUCUCUUUUCGGACUCAGUCCGCCUGCACCCAGGUGAAAUAAACAGCCAUGUUGCUCACACAAAGCCUGUUUGGUGGUCUCUUCACACGCAUGAAAGUGCAAAUGUAAUUUACAUUUGUAUUUGAACAAGCUGAUUAGCUUGAUUAGCCUGAUAGAAAUAGAAGUUGUCAAUAUUUUAUUAGUAACUUAUAAUUUAUAGAAUUAUAUAAUUUAUAGGUAUAUAAUACAAUUAGAGCAAUAUCUAUUAUUUUUAUAGUUUGUGUAUUGCUCUGAUUCACCCCAUACACACAAUUAGAGUAACCAACCUAAAUAAUUUUGUGAUGAAGCCAAUGAUAAAUACAAUGUAAAUUUCCUCAAAAUAAUAGGCAAUCUCGCUAUUCCCAAUCACCAAAAGGAUUUUUUAAAUGUUGCACAUUAGAAGACCUACUUUAAAAGUCAAUCUAAAUGCCUUAUAACAGGAAAAACUUCUUUCAUAAUUUUUUGAUAAAUUUUGCAAAUUUAAAAAUGUUACAGUAUUUUAUUGUAAAUUUGGUACAUUUUGGUAUACCUUAUUGAAAAUUAUUUGGGAAUGUUCACUUAAACCAUUCAACAAAUGAACCACCACAAAAUGUCAGACUUUGAAGCUUUCAGCAAACAGGAAUUACUGAAAACAAAGCUUUCAAAGGGAAAGAUAUUGAAGUUUAUCCCAAAAAAGAGAGAAGCUGAACUUGUUUUUAAUGAGAAUUCAAAUAAUAUACAAGAUUUACCUUUAAUUUUCAAUCAUUUUACUUUUGAUAUUUUACUUUGUAAGAAAGUUA
Molecule: long non-coding RNA, 6114 nt
Filed under: Homo sapiens (human)
Lineage: Eukaryota; Metazoa; Chordata; Mammalia; Primates; Hominidae
Description: non-protein coding lnc-KIF20B-9:2
Source: RNAcentral